GGGCCUAAUACCUGGAAGUCGAGCGAGCGGAACUAACAGAUUUACUUCGGUAAUGACGUUAGGAAAGCGAGCGGCGGAUGGGUGAGUAACACGUGGGGAACCUGCCCCAUAGUCUGGGAUACCACUUGGAAACAGGUGCUAAUACCGGAUAAGAAAGCAGAUCGCAUGAUCAGCUUUUAAAAGGCGGCGUAAGCUGUCGCUAUGGGAUGGCCCCGCGGUGCAUUAGCUGGUUGGUAAGGUAAAGGCUUACCAAGGCGAUGAUGCAUAGCCGAGUUGAGAGACUGAUCGGCCACAUUGGGACUGAGACACGGCCCAAACUCCUACGGGAGGCAGCAGUAGGGAAUCUUCCACAAUGGACGCAAGUCUGAUGGAGCAACGCCGCGUGAGUGAAGAAGGUUUUCGGAUCGUAAAGCUCUGUUGUUGGUGAAGAAGGAUAGAGGUAGGAACUGGCCUUUAUUUGACGGAAAUCAACCAG
This 475-nucleotide ribosomal RNA is filed under the name Lactobacillus sp. OR6. RNAcentral's name for it is "bacterial SSU rRNA". It matches the Rfam family "Bacterial small subunit ribosomal RNA", at positions 44 to 486 of the family's 1533-position model. The record is from RNAcentral. Lineage: Bacteria; Bacillati; Bacillota; Bacilli; Lactobacillales; Lactobacillaceae.